Molecule: ribosomal RNA, 378 nt
Filed under: uncultured soil bacterium
Lineage: Bacteria
Description: bacterial SSU rRNA
Rfam family: Bacterial small subunit ribosomal RNA
Source: RNAcentral
AGAUUGAACGCUGGCGGCAGGCCUAACACAUGCAAGUCGAGCGCGAAAGUUCCUUCGGGAAUGAGUAGAGCGGCGGACGGGUGAGUAACGCGUAGGAAUUUGCCCAGUAGUGGGGGACAACUCGGGGAAACUCGAGCUAAUACCGCAUACGCCCCAAGGGGGAAAGCAGGGGAUCUUCGGACCUUGCGCUAUUGGAUAAGCCUGCGUCGGAUUAGCUAGUUGGUGGGGUAAGGCCUACCAAGGCAACGAUCCGUAGCUGGUCUGAGAGGAUGAUCAGCCACACUGGGACUGAGACACGGCCCAGACUCCUACGGGAGGCAGCAGUGGGGAAUAUUGGACAAUGGGGGCAACCCUGAUCAGCCAUGCCGCGUGUGUGAA